This is an RNA transcript of Anneissia japonica, 3818 nucleotides long. It is a transcript of the gene named stAR-related lipid transfer protein 3-like, with no coding region annotated. The record is from RefSeq and is a predicted model, not a curated record. NCBI's taxonomy places the organism in Eukaryota, Metazoa, Echinodermata, Crinoidea, Comatulida, Comatulidae. The transcript is spliced from 14 exons.
CAAUAAAUGAAGUCAUGUGUCACACAUUUGAUGUCAUGUGUCACUCAUUAAGAAUAUCGCGAGUUGGUCAGGUGGUUUUGCGUGGCUAGUCAAGCGUCGCUGGGGGAACCUAAUUGCAAUGGCGUCGAGUUCAAACAGAGAUUCAUCGGCCCGAGCAGCAGCACAUAUUCUAAUCAGUGGAUCCCACAGCGGUGAAUCUUCCUCCUAUACAGCGUCAGGACGAAACCAACCAGAGUCAGCAAAUGAGGCUGAAAUGCGGUUUUCAUCAGUGCGCAGAAUGUUCUGCCUUUUUGUGACAUUUGACUUGCUUUUUAUUGGGACGAUAUGGAUUCUUUACGUUAAUACAAGUGGUAUAAGUGGAGGUUUAAAAGAAGCAUUUUGUUGCCAGGUAAAUGAUUUCAGCAUCCACACAUCUAUGUUUGAUAUCGUGCUAUUGGCUGCUGGGCGUGUAAUGUUGCUAUUAUUGGCCUAUGCUCUCUUUCAGAGCAAGCAUUGGUUCACAGUGGCGUUUACUACAUCAAUGUCGUGUAUUUUCUUAAUUUGUAAAAUAGUGCUUUUUGACUUUGGAGAUGAUAAAAAAGAAUGCAAAACAAAUUCUGAUGCCAAGAUAAUGGAGUUUUUCAUCUUUAUAUGCUGUUUUGUCUUAACAUGGAUUGAAGUGUGGAUUCUAGAUUUAAAAGUUUUACCACGAGAGAGAAAACGUGAAGAAGCUCAUAAUCGCUCUCUGUCGAUUGCAACCCAGAACGAAAGGACGCCCCUUUUAAAUCCAGCACCACAAGAGGAUAGUAGUGUACCUGAUCAGACAUUUUAUUCUCCAAUAGCAUCGACUACAGGCUCUGAUGAUGAAUGUGUAGAGUAUAGUCCUGCAAGUAGUUAUCGUUCCAAAGUUGAUGAAUUUCAAUCGCUGCCUAAUAGUCAACGAGGGAGUUCUAUAAACCUUGCUGCGUCCGCAGAGGAUCAGGCAUAUCUAGAGAAGGCUAAAGAAGCCCAAAUGCAAAUGCAAAUGAUAGCAUUAGAAACAGAAGGAUGGAAAAUGGAGCGGAAGAGAGAAAAUAUCAUAGUCGAAAGCAGGUAUUUUGAGGGAAUAACUGGAAAAGUUUAUAAGCUUGAGGGCAUUAUAGAAGCCAGCGUUCAAGAGAUAUUUAAAGUGAUGUGGGAGGGUAUUGAUGACACCUUAAAGUGGAAUACUACCGUAAUUGAAUGUCGUCUGCUCCACUCAAUAAGUUCAACUGCUGAUAUUGUCUAUAGCGUCGCAGCUGAAGGUGCUGGAGGGGUGGUGGCCAGCAGGGAUUUUGUGAGUGUGAGGACAUAUCAAAUUGAGGGUAGUGUGUAUCGGUGUGCAUCUAAAUCUGUUGAAUAUCCUGAAAUGGAGCCAGUCAAGAAAUAUGUACGUGGUGAAAAUGGACCAGGUGGUUGGAUUGCUGAGCCUCUUGAUGGGAACCCAAACAUUUCUAAAUUUACAUGGAUCUUGAACUCUGACCUCAAGUUUAUGGUCUGGACACCUCAAACUGUCCUGGACACUGCCCUCAGUGUUGUGGUCAUGAACAUCUUUUUUGGACUUCGAGAACACAUCAAAUCGCUGAAGCAGAGUAGCAUUCCAAAUGGCCACGCCAACUCAAACACAAGCUAUGAUGAAGAACCGAUUUCAGUAUGAGCUUCAUUUGGCCCUCAGUAAGCAAAUCAGAGUGAAAUUUGAUUAACCAUCAGUCACAGUUUUUAUCAUGGAGAGUGAAAUUUGAUUAACCAUCAGUCGCAGUUGUUUUCAUCAUGGAGUUAGAUUCCUUUAUUGGGUGGUGUUUUUUUAACUUCAACUCAAAAGGAAUACAAGAAUCGUUCAUUCUCAAGGCGAAUCAUGCUGAAAAAAUGUAUACACUUUUUGUAUAAGGUUUCUAAUAUUGUUAACAGUGAUAUUUCAAACUAUAUUUAAAUUAUGAUGAUUGUGAUUUUUCCAAAGAUAAACAUGAUCACAAAAUGUAGAGAUAGCUCAGAAUGUAAACAUUAACCUAGAAAAAAUGCAAAUUUUGAAAAUAUGAUUUUGUAUUACAAAUCCUAAUACCAUAAACUGUUUAUGUGAUGGUGAUGUCUUACACGUGUUUCAGGGAUAUCUAUUACGCACGAAAUUUCAUGCAUACUGGUUCUUAUGAUACUUUAGAUAUUUUUAGACGAUGAGGCUAAAUGCGAAACAAAAUUGGAAGUGCUUGCUUUCUAUUGGUUGGAGCAAUAUGACCUGUGCAGUCCGUGUCCUACAUUCCGAUGUUAGUUUACCGGUAUUGGAUAUAACGUGUUAAAUGAGUAUUUCUGUCCACAAUAACAUUCGCUGUGUUUAUGAAUUGAUGGUCUUUUUUCUUUAAGCGUAUUAAUAUUAUCAUCACCUGAUUUUGAUAUUGCUAAAAUUUUAUAUUUUCCCCUCAAUUUUGUAGAUGAUUGUAUGAACUGAUUUUUUGGAUACAAUUUGAAAAUUACAGUAUAGAUUAUAGAUACAGACAUAUAUUGUUGAUAAUGUGUUUACCACUGAUUCUGCAAUAAUUCUGUAAUAACAAUUAGAUUGGAAGUAUUGAAGCAAUGGAAAGACUUCCGUCUUUCAGUGAAAUGGUCGUGAGUGUGAGCUCGGCUUAUGUUUUGGGUUAGAUGGGCAUUGAUUGGCCAUGUGACCAAAUUAUUUCGGUUAAGCUAGAUUUACAUUAGACACGAUAACGAUGCGACAACGACACGACAACGACAUAUCAUCGCAUAGUUUGUAUUCUUCAACACUGCGCGCAUCUGUAUCGUGUCGUUGUUGUGUCGUAAUGGUGUCUAGUAUAAAUGUAGCUUUUACAUAGACACUCGAAGAAAAAAAAGGGCAGAACUUAACACUUAAAGAAGAUCUGUUGGAUGGGCAAACUUGUCAGAGCAAGAUGUGAAAUGUAAGAGAGAAGAAAGUGGAGGAAGCAAAUGUCAGCCUUUGUUUCCACAUGACACAAAGAAGAAAAAUAUGCUAAAUCUGUUUGCACGAUUGCACAACGACGGUAGGACGUAGAACAUAAUGACGUCACUAAAAGUCAUCUGCGCAUGCGAGAACGUUAAGGUAACCUCGUCGAGUAGAUUUCGUAACGCAAUUUGGCUAAAUCUACGUAUGCAGAGAAAGCAGGACGUCAGGUAGGACGGUCACGCAUGAGUGAUUCCGUUCUAGCGUCGAGUCGUCGCACAAAUCGAAAGCUCCCUAAUGUUCUAUUUAUAGAGGAUGGAUAAUACUUAAAUUUAAUUAGGUUUAAUAAAAAAAGUAUGAUUUUAAGCAACUUCAGUAAUAAAGUACUUUGUAAUUUUUUCUAAAUAUAUUUAAUAUGGUGAAUGGAGACUAUAUCAAGUUAUCAACCUAUUCCACACUGUUAAGAACAUUUAAAUUGCACAUCUCAUGACUCCAUUAUAUGCACUAACAUCACUACUCCAUCAUAUGCAUCCACAUCAUCACUCCAUCAUCAGUGGCAGAUCCGGGGUGGGGGGGGGGUUCAAGGGGUUCGGAUGAACCCUCCUCUGUGAAGAAAUGUAAAAGAAUACAACUGGGUCCUGGCUUACAAAAAGCAUGCUAACCUACCUAGACAUAGGUUGGAAGAUCAGACAAACUAGGCUUAGCCCAACUAGUUUUCAAUUUAAUUAUACAGUGUUUUUGGUGCGCCGUCGUAAUAAUUUAUAUACGAAAGUGCGUUUUUCAGGCUUAUUGGUUCAUCGAUCCAUGGAAGAAAGACUACAUAUCAAACUACUCAGUGUUGUUGGAAUAUAAUAAUAUAUCGUCUACCUUUGAUUUUUUCCUCUAUGAUAGGCCUAAAGAAUGAGAUAAAAUU